GUUUGACUGGGGCGGUCUCCUCCCAAAGCGUAACGGAGGAGCACGAAGGUUAGCUAAUCCUGGUCGGACAUCAGGAGGUUAGUGCAAUGGCAUAAGCUAGCUUGACUGCGAGCGUGACGGCGCGAGCAGGUGCGAAAGCAGGUCAUAGUGAUCCGGUGGUUCUGAAUGGAAGGGCCAUCGCUCAACGGAUAAAAGGUACUCCGGGGAUAACAGGCUGAUACCGCCCAAGAGUUCAUAUCGACGGCGGUGUUUGGCACCUCGAUGUCGGCUCAUCACAUCCUGGGGCUGAAGUAGGUCCCAAGGGUAUGGCUGUUCGCCAUUUAAAGUGGUACGCGAGCUGGGUUUAGAACGUCGUGAGACAGUUCGGUCCCUAUCUGCCGUGGGCGCUGGAGAAUUGAGGGGGGCUGCUCCUAGUACGAGAGGACCGGAGUGGACGCAUCACUGGUGUUCGGGUUGUCAUGCCAAUGGCACUGCCCGGUAGCUAAAUGCGGAAGAGAUAAGUGCUGAAAGCAUCUAAGCACGAAACUUGCCCCGAGAUGAGUUCUCCCUGAGACUUUAAGUCUCCUGAAGGAACGUUGAAGACGACGACGUUGAUAGGCCGGGUGUGUAAGCGCAGCGAUGCGUUGAGCUAACCGGUACUAAUGAACCGUGAGGCUUAACCUU
Molecule: ribosomal RNA, 663 nt
Filed under: Klebsiella pneumoniae
Lineage: Bacteria; Pseudomonadati; Pseudomonadota; Gammaproteobacteria; Enterobacterales; Enterobacteriaceae
Description: partial 23S ribosomal RNA
Rfam family: Bacterial large subunit ribosomal RNA
Source: RNAcentral